Molecule: transfer RNA, 72 nt
Filed under: Ovis aries (sheep)
Lineage: Eukaryota; Metazoa; Chordata; Mammalia; Artiodactyla; Bovidae
Rfam family: tRNA
About the family: Transfer RNA (tRNA) molecules are approximately 80 nucleotides in length. Their secondary structure includes four short double-helical elements and three loops (D, anti-codon, and T loops). Further hydrogen bonds mediate the characteristic L-shaped molecular structure. tRNAs have two regions of fundamental functional importance: the anti-codon, which is responsible for specific mRNA codon recognition, and the 3' end, to which the tRNAs corresponding amino acid is attached (by aminoacyl-tRNA synthetases). tRNAs cope with the degeneracy of the genetic code in two manners: having more than one tRNA (with a specific anti-codon) for a particular amino acid; and 'wobble' base-pairing, i.e. permitting non-standard base-pairing at the 3rd anti-codon position.
Source: Rfam by way of RNAcentral
UCCCUGGUGGCUCAGACGGUAGAGCGUCUGCCUGCAAUGCAGGAGACCCAGGUUCGAUCCCUGGGUUGGGAA